GCUCAGGAUGAACGCUGGCGGCGUGCUUAACACACGUAAGUCGAACGAAGCACUUUAUUUGAUUUCCUUCGGGACUGAUUAUUUUGUGACUGAGUGGCGGACGGGUGAGUAACGCGUGGGUAACCUGCCUUGUACAGGGGGAUAACAGUUGGAAACGGCUGCUAAUACCGCAUAAGCGCACGGCAUCGCAUGAUGCAGUGUGAAAAACUCCGGUGGUAUAAGAUGGACCCGCGUUGGAUUAGCUAGUUGGUGAGGUAACGGCCCACCAAGGCGACGAUCCAUAGCCGACCUGAGAGGGUGACCGGCCACAUUGGGACUGAGACACGGCCCAAACUCCUACGGGAGGCAGCAGUGGGGAAUAUUGCACAAUGGGCGAAAGCCUGAUGCAGCGACGCCGCGUGAGCGAAGAAGUAUUUCGGUAUGUAAAGCUCUAUCAGCAGGGAAGAUAAUGACGGUACCUGACUAAGAAGCACCGGCUAAAUACGUGCCAGCAGCCGCGGUAAUACGUAUGGUGCAAGCGUUAUCCGGAUUUACUGGGUGUAAGGGAGCGCAGGCGGUGCGGCAAGUCUGAUGUGAAAGCCCGGGGCUCAACCCCGGUACUGCAUUGGAAACUGUCGUACUAGAGUGUCGGAGGGGUAAGCAGAAUUCCUAGUGUAGCGGUGAAAUGCGUAGAGAUGGGGAGGAACACCAGUGGCGAAGGCGGCCUGCUGGGCUUUAACUGACGCUGAGGCACGAAAGCGUGGGUAGCAAACAGGAUUAGAUACCCUGGUAGUCCACGCUGUAAACGAUGAUUACUAGGUGUGGGGGGUCUGACCCCUUCCGUGCCGGAGUUAACACAAUAAGUAAUCCACCUGGGGAGUACGGCCGCAAGGUUGAAACUCAAAGGAAUUGACGGGGGCCCGCACAAGCAGUGGAGUAUGUGGUUUAAUUCGAAGCAACGCGAAGAACCUUACCAGGUCUUGACAUCCAACUAACGAAGUAGAGAUACAUUAGGUGCCCUUCGGGGAAAGUUGAGACAGGUGGUGCAUGGUUGUCGUCAGCUCGUGUCGUGAGAUGUUGGGUUAAGUCCCGCAACGAGCGCAACCCUUGCUAUUAGUUGCUACGCAAGAGCACUCUAAUAGGACUGCCGUUGACAAAACGGAGGAAGGUGGGGACGACGUCAAAUCAUCAUGCCCCUUAUGACCUGGGCUACACACGUACUACAAUGGAUGUUAACAGAGGGAAGCAAGACAGCGAUAUGGAGCAAACCCCUAAAAACAUUCUCAGUUCAGAUUGCAGGCUGCAACACGCCUGCAUGAAGAUGGAAUUGAAAGUAAUCGCGGAUCAGCAUGCCGCG
RNAcentral lists this ribosomal RNA (1336 nucleotides) under uncultured bacterium. RNAcentral's name for it is "bacterial SSU rRNA". It matches the Rfam family "Bacterial small subunit ribosomal RNA", at positions 22 to 1361 of the family's 1533-position model. The record is from RNAcentral.